Molecule: long non-coding RNA, 482 nt
Organism: Cervus elaphus (red deer)
Lineage: Eukaryota; Metazoa; Chordata; Mammalia; Artiodactyla; Cervidae
Exons: 3
Source: RefSeq, a predicted model, not a curated record
CACACACAAACAAAUACACACACACACAUUCAUAAAAUAGGAUUAAUUGCCUGGACAGUUAGGAAGGUUUUUUCCCCUUCAUUUAUUUUUCUCAUUAAACAGAUUUCUCAGUAACUUAACAGGACUUAACGAUCACCCUAUUAAAACUCUAUCUUUUUGUACAUACUCCUCAUUUUUACCCUUUGUACUCUGCACUCAUUUCUGCUUUUCAGCCAAUUGCUCUUUCACAGACCUUGUGUGUGCUAAGUCACUUCAGUCCUACCCGACUCUUUGUGACCCUCUGGACUGUAACCUGUCAGGCUCCUCUGUCCAUGGGAUUCUUCAGCGACCUCCACUCUCAGUAAUGUCCCAAACUGGAGAGCUGUUUGGGGGAUCCGAGGAGCUAACAUACAGGGAGAGUGUCUGGUACAGCAUUAGCACUAUCAGGAGGAGAAGGGGAUGACAGAGGACGAGAUGGCUGGAUGGCAUAACCAACUCAACGG